Molecule: long non-coding RNA, 1734 nt
Organism: Oncorhynchus keta (chum salmon)
Lineage: Eukaryota; Metazoa; Chordata; Actinopteri; Salmoniformes; Salmonidae
Exons: 3
Source: RefSeq, a predicted model, not a curated record
UUUGAUGUUAUUAUAAUGGACAACAAAUGUGCUGCUAUUUUUUCAAAAACAAGGCCAUUUCUAAGUGACACCAAACAUUUGAACGGUAGUGUAUGUUGAAGAGGUCAAGCUGCAUACCCGUCUCACCCCAUGACCCAGGGGAAAGACAUCGUGAAUUUGUGAAUGUUAACUGCACACUUCUUGUUUUUCUACAUGGAUUUAUGUUGUUUUUGCUCAAUGAUGGGUUUUUUUUUCACUGAAGAAAUGUUAAUGAUAAUGCAAAAUAUUUUCUUAAGGUUGCUGAGGAUGCAUUUCCCCCGGUAGAUUGGGGUCAAAUCUCCACUCUUGUGGAUUGGGAUGAUCCGUCCCUGGUUCCAAGAUGCCAGAGCUGAGGAUGAUUUCAAAUAGUUUCAUUUUAGCCAAUUAAAAUGUGUGGUGUGCAUAUGUUAUCAUUUCAAUGAGGAUACCAUCAACACCACAGGCCUUUUUGGGUUGGAGGGUUUGUAUUUUGUCCUGUAGUUCAUUCAAGGUAAUUGGAGAGUCCAGUGGGUUCUGGUAGUCUUUAAAGAUGUGUAUUUGAUCAUGUACGUUGUUUUGCUGUUUUUUCUUUGUUAUAGAGCCAAAAAGAUUGGAGAAGUGGUUUACCCAUACAGUACAUACAGUACAUACAGUACAUACAGUACAUACAGUACAUCACCAUUUUGGAUAGAUAACUAUUCAUGUUGUUGUUUGUUUAGUGUUUUUCAAUUUUCCCAGAGUUGGUUCAAUUCUAUUAAUUCUUCAACUACAUUGAGUUGAUUUCUGACGUGCUGUUCCUUCUUUUUCUGUAUUGGUUUAGUGAUUCACUAUAGUGAAGGCUCAGGUUUACCCAUACAUCUCUGGUUUAGUGAUUCACUAUAGUGAAGGCUCAGGUUUACCCAUACAUCUCUGUUUUAGUGAUUCACUAUAGUGAAGGCUCAGGUUUACCCAUACAUCUCUGUUUUAGUGAUUCACUAUAGUGAAGGCUCAGGUUUACCCAUACAUCUCUGUUUUAGUGAUUCACUAUAGUGAAGGCUCAGGUUUACCCAUACAUCUCUGUUUUAGUGAUUCACUAUAGUGAAGGCUCAGGUUUACCCAUACAUCUCUGUUUUAGUGAUUCACUAUAGUGAAGGCUCAGGUUUACCCAUACAUCUCUGUUUUAGUGAUUCACUAUAGUGAAGGCUCAGGUUUACCCAUACAUCUCUGUUUUAGUGAUUCACUAUAGUGAAGGCUCAGGUUUACCCAUACAUCUCUGUUUUAGUGAUUCACUAUAGUGAAGGCUCAGGUUUACCCAUACAUCUCUGUUUUAGUGAUUCACUAUAGUGAAGGCUCAGGUUUACCCAUACAUCUCUGUUUUAGUGAUUCACUAUAGUGAAGGCUCAGGUUUACCCAUACAUCUCUGGUUUAGUGAUUCACUAUAGUGAAGGCUCAGGUUUACCCAUACAUCUCUGUUUUAGUGAUUCACUAUAGUGAAGGCUCAGGUUUUCUGGGUCUCUGUGUCUUUGGUUGGAUCGGUUUCUCAAUUUCUUUCUUAGGUUUUUGAAUUCUUCAUCAAAACAUUUGGUAUUGUUGUUCAUCUUCUUCGAUUGUCUGCUUGACAUUUUGGGAUUUGAUAGGGAAGCUGAGAGGUCAAAUAUACUGUUCUAGAAAGGGGACAGCUAUGAUGCUCUGUGGCCCUGUUCUAGAAAGGGGACAGCUAUGAUGCUCUGUGGCCCUGUUCUAGAAAGGGGACAGCUA